GUGGAAUGCCUCUCCCAAAAGUAUUACCUUAGUAUCCAAGUAUUUUAUUUGUGGAUAAUAAAUAAAAUGCAUCACUGCUGAAAUGCUGUCACAUUGUACUUUCCAUUCGGUACUAAGUACACAGUUUUGUGCCUUCUCAAAUGAAAAUGAAGCUCUGAGCAAUCUUUCAUUUAUUUCUCCAAUCUGCUUAUAGUUCUUCAAGAAACCAUUUGAAUUUUCUGUCUGUAAUUCCCACUUAUCACAGUAGCUCAACCUAGUCCCAGGGACCAACAGAAAACUAGAUGAUCAGUCCGCCCCAACCAUCUUCCCAAAUAAAUUCAUAUUCAUCACCACUUGUUGGUGUGAGGCACUUACCAAGGUUGCCAGGCUGAAGACUUCUACGAUGGAAUGCAAGCUACCACAGGACUCUCCCCAGAGAAGCAAACAACAGUUUGUUCGCUAACUUGAUAGUCUUCCCUCCUUGUGAUCUUUUAAAUCCAGAAACAGGUAAGGUAUUUGACAAUCUUAGAAAAUGUUAAUUUGUGCAGAACCUAAGACUAUUUUACCAGCAGAUAUUCCAUAAUGACAACAGUAAGUGGCCCACUCCGGGCUCUACUCCUGCCUUUCCAAAUACCUCAGUGGCCUCCACUGGGGUCUCCCCUGAGGCCACAAUCAGCACCUUCUUACCCCCUUUAUCCACCCAGCCUCUUGCCAAGUUCAGGUCCAGUGAUUUCAUCUUACUUCCACUUUCUCGCUUCCAAACUUAACUUCCUUACUACUUCAUUCAGGUCUAAUGCCUUUCAAAUUUAAAGGCGAUUUUUAAAAACCUUAGUGUAGGAACUGUAUUUUUUUUUUCCCUCUAACUCAGCGAGUCUAGCAUAAUCAGUCAUGAGGAAGUGAUGGGACCAUUCUAAUGGGGACAUUUUAAUCCUCAGGAGUUUGGUUUAUGACUACUUCACCAACAUUUCAAGCAGAUAGCCAGGCACAGAUUUCUGGUUCACUCCACCAAACAUCCUACACUCAAUCUGCCUGACAGUUUACGUCUCUAUCAAUUUCUCAUCCGCAUACCAUUCCAUCUAGCAGACUUUCCUUCAAAAAAUGCUAUGUGCUUUCUCUUCUGGAUUACUUUGAGUCUUUCUAAACCAGGUCAAAAGUGGAGGGACACCUGGGUGGCUCUGCGGUUGAGUGUCUGCCUUCGGCCCAGGGCGUAAGCCUGGAGGCCCAGGAUCGAGUCCCACAUCGGGCUCCCUGCAUGGAGCCUGCUUCUCCCUUUGCCUGUGUCUCUGCCUCUCUCUUUGUGUCUCUCAUGAAUAAAUACAUAAAAUCUUAAAAAAAAAAAAAAAAGUGGAAGGUACAGGGUGAUCUUCCGGAUAUAGAAAGGAAACCUCAGAAACAUGUCUAAUCAUGUUUGUCUCAUUCUUUUAUUUCUGUGUAUUUUAUAACGACUAUAAUUCAAAACUAUAUAAAAUACUCAAAAUGCUGCAGGUAUGAACAAAAGUAUUUUACUAUGAGAUUCCAUGUCAAAAAUGUUUAGACUACUAGGCUAAAUGAUGACACUUUUAAUACACCUUUCUUGGUGCUCUAGGGACUAUUCUUACUAAAAUACUGUAUUCUAGCUGUUUGGCUAAGAAAAUAUUUUGUAUUCAUGCAGUAUAACAUAAUACUAUUAUUACUAAAAUCAGACCUCACUCUUAACUUUCCUAUGAUAUCUCUGAAUUAUAUUUCCUCACACAACUCUACUUUUUUUUUUUUUUAAUAGGCUCCAGCCCAAAGUGGAGCUUGAACUCAUGACCCUGAGAUCAGGAGCCAUAUGCUCUACUGACUGAGCCAGCCAGGUGCCCCUCACUCAGUUCUACUUUUAAAGACAUCUCCAUAGUAAAAAAAAAAAAAAUGUUUUACUUCAAAAUUAAAACCAAGUGAGCAAUCAAACAUCCUUUAAAAGAGGGACACCUGGGUUUAGCUUCUGCGUUUGGUCCAGGGCAUGAUCCCACACCCUCGGGAUCGAGUCCCACAUCGGGCUCUCUGCAUGAAGCCUGCUUCUCCUCCCUCUGCCUGUGUCUCUGCCUCUGUGUGUGUGUGUCUCUGGUGAAUACAUAAAUAAAAUCUUUAAAUUAAAAAAAUAUCCUUUAAAAGAUAAAUGAUACCUAAGGCAAGAUUUUCAAAGACAUAAAGCGCUUAACAAAGUAUAGGCGGUGUUCCAAGUUCUUUCUCAUUUAAUCUUCAUAACAUUAUUACAAUUCUGAAACUAUAUCACAUAAUUAUAUUUAUUUUCAAUAAAUUAUAAAAAUUAUUUUUUAAUAGAUGGAGGAAUGAACUUUUAUAAAACUCAAGACGUCUCUGUAACCACAGUGAAUGAUAUUUUCAAUCAAGAGGUUCUGAAGACAAACUUUUUAUUCUCUGUGCCUUCCACUUUAUCUACCUCUCAUCCAGGAAUCCCGGUUACUAAGGGUGAGGCCUUGGGCAGGCAAUUUAACCUCCCCGUGCCUCAGAGUCCUUAUCUGUGCUAAACUCAUCCACUGGAGCGCCUCCUCUGUGCCAGGCACAGUUUCUGGCCAGGGGACAGAGCUGUGAACAAAAGACACGAUCCUGUUCUCAGGAGGCUUUCAGAGAACCCCCGUAAGGCACUGGCCCAAAGGGUAACCCCUCAUUAUAAUGCUAGCCAUUACUAUUUCCCAAACUGCCUUCGUUAUUGUUAUUUUUGUCCUAUUUUCAUUCUAAGGUAAAUCCCACUUGCCUUAUUCUACGUGACACCCAAGUGUUUCUUAGCCAGAGAAGAAAAAGGGCAGAAAAGGGGACAGUUAACUGAUUCAUCAGAAUUUGGCACUGGGGCAGCCCGGGUGGCCCAGCGGUUUAGUGCCUGCCUUCAGCCCAGGGUGUGAUCCUGGAGGCCCGGGAUCGAGUCCCACGUUGCGCUCCCUGCAAGGAGCCUGCUUCUUCUCCCUCUGCCUGUGUCUCUGCCUCUCUCUGUGUGUGUCUCUGUGUCUCUCAUGAACAAAUAAAUAAAUAAAUCUUACAAAAUAAAAUAAAAUAAAAUGUAUCAAAAAAAAAAAAGAGAGAGAGAGAGAACUUGGUACCAGCAAGUGCAUGAACUACGUUCCUCUGGAAAGGGCUGUUGCAGAGCUAUCUGGGUGCGGCCGGCCCUCGGGGCUAAGACAUCCCGCUGGACGAGGUCCCACCACCGACUUCGGGGACAGCGGCCGCCUAGCCGAGCUCCGAUCCUCCCGGGGCCCUCCUCGAUGCCGAGGCAGGUCAGUUCACACCUGGAGGUUACAGCCGACCUGCCGCCCCACAGCUCUGACAGCUGCAAAAUUUGACUGCAGUGCAACCUAAUCCCUCAGGACGCCGGCUUCCAGGCUGCCCUUGCAGGGCCCGUCCUGAGAACAUCUCUGCAUUUAUUCGAAAUCAUUACGUAAUCACGGGCCGCGCUCUCCAAAGUCACUACUGUUACACGGAAAGCAUCGCUCAAGGAGCCCGCCUCCCGGCACAGACUCUAAAUCACCAGCAGCCGAAGAAAGAAUCCGCGAAUCCAACGUAAGCUCGAGAAGUGAAAUAAGAACAGGAACUCUCCGCGGAGCACCUCCUUAUAAACAGCUGAGAUCGCCUCCCCAGCACCUCGCUAAAUCCAAAUAUCUGAGAUAGGCCCCCGUGUCCA
RNAcentral lists this long non-coding RNA (3631 nucleotides) under Canis lupus familiaris (dog). Its description in RNAcentral is "lncRNA (ENSCAFG00000052367.1)". Lineage: Eukaryota; Metazoa; Chordata; Mammalia; Carnivora; Canidae. The record is from RNAcentral.